Molecule: transfer RNA, 62 nt
Filed under: bovine gut metagenome
Rfam family: tRNA
About the family: Transfer RNA (tRNA) molecules are approximately 80 nucleotides in length. Their secondary structure includes four short double-helical elements and three loops (D, anti-codon, and T loops).
Source: RNAcentral
GGUGUGGCUCAGUCUGGUAGAGCGCCUGGUUUGGGACCAGGAUGUCGCAGGUUCGAAUCCCG